Molecule: long non-coding RNA, 255 nt
Organism: Chelonia mydas (Green sea turtle)
Lineage: Eukaryota; Metazoa; Chordata; Testudines; Cheloniidae
Exons: 3
Source: RefSeq, a predicted model, not a curated record
UUUAAAACCAGCUGCCCUGAUUAGCCUGCCUGUCCUAAUUGAUUCUGGUGGCUUCUUAAUUGGCUCCAGGUGUCCUAAUUUGACUGCCUUAAUUGCAUCCAGCAACCUCCUGAUUGUUCUGGAAUAGACCAUUAUCUUACUCAGAAAAAAGGGAUCUGCUUAAUCUGGGGCUAGUAUCUCUACCUUCUAUCACUCUCCUGUAGCCAUCUGGCCUGACCCUGUCACACAAUCUCAGUUUAUUCUUAAGGAGAAAAG